GUUGUAUGGUUAAGUGACUAAGCGUACACGGUGGAUGCCUUGGCAGUCAGAGGCGAUGAAAGACGUAGUAACUUGCGAUAAGCCCAGAUUAGGUAGUAACAACCAUUUGAGUCUGGGAUUUCUGAAUGGGGAAACCCACGUGCAUAAGCACGUAUCCUUACCUGAAUACAUAGGGUAAGGAGGCGAACCGGGGGAACUGAAACAUCUAAGUACCCCGAGGAAAAGAAAUCAACCGAGAUUCCGAAAGUAGCGGCGAGCGAAAUUGGACUAGCCCUUAAGCUUUACACGCGUUAGACGAACGGUCUGGAAAGUCCGACGAUACAGGGUGAUAGUCCCGUAGUUGACGACGUGUGUUCAGUGAAAUCGAGUAGGGCGGGACACGUGAUAUCCUGUCUGAAUAUGGGGGGACCAUCCUCCAAGGCUAAAUACUACUGACUGACCGAUAGUGAACCAGUACCGUGAGGGAAAGGCGAAAAGAACCCCUGUGAGGGGAGUGAAAUAGAACCUGAAACCGUGUACGUACAAGCAGUAGGAGCACCUUCGUGGUGUGACUGCGUACCUUUUGUAUAAUGGGUCAGCGACUUAUAUUCAGUGGCAAGGUUAACCAUCUAGGGGAGCCGUAGGGAAACCGAGUCUUAACUGGGCGUUCAGUCUCUGGAUAUAGACCCGAAACCAGGUGAUCUAGCCAUGGGCAGGUUGAAGGUUGAGUAACAUCAACUGGAGGACCGAACCGACUAAUGUUGAAAAAUUAGCGGAUGACUUGUGGCUAGGGGUGAAAGGCCAAUCAAACCUGGAGAUAGCUGGUUCUCCCCGAAAGCUAUUUAGGUAGCGCCUCGGACGAAUACUACUGGGGGUAGAGCACUGUUAAGGCUAGGGGGUCAUCCCGACUUACCAACCCUUUGCAAACUCCGAAUACCAGUAAGUACUAUCCGGGAGACACACGGCGGGUGCUAACGUCCGUCGUGGAGAGGGAAACAACCCAGACCGCCAGCUAAGGUCCCAAAUUACUACUAAGUGGGAAACGAUGUGGGAAGGCUCAGACAGCCAGGAUGUUGGCUUAGAAGCAGCCAUCAUUUAAAGAAAGCGUAAUAGCUCACUGGUCGAGUCGGCCUGCGCGGAAGAUGUAACGGGGCUAAGUAGUAAACCGAAGCUGCGGCAAUAUACUUUUGUAUAUUGGGUAGGGGAGCGUUCUGUAAGCGGUUGAAGGUGUGUGGUAACGCAUGCUGGACGUAUCAGAAGUGCGAAUGCUGACAUGAGUAACGAUAAAGGGGGUGAAAAACCUCCUCGCCGGAAGACCAAGGGUUCCUGUCCAACGUUAAUCGGGGCAGGGUAAGUCGACCCCUAAGGCGAGGCCGAAAGGCGUAGUCGAUGGGAAACGGGUUAAUAUUCCCGUACUUCUUACAAUUGCGAUGGGGGGACGGAGAAGGCUAGGUGGGCCUGGCGACGGUUGUCCAGGUUCAAGUGCGUAGGCUUAAGAGUUAGGUAAAUCCGGCUCUUUUUAAGGCUGAGACACGACGUCGAGCACCUACGGGUGUGAAGUCAUUGAUGCCAUGCUUCCAGGAAAAGCCUCUAAGCUUCAGAUUGUAAGGAAUCGUACCCCAAACCGACACAGGUGGUCGGGUAGAGAAUACCAAGGCGCUUGAGAGAACUCGGGUGAAGGAACUAGGCAAAAUGGUACCGUAACUUCGGGAGAAGGUACGCUCUCGACGGUGAAGUCCCUCGCGGAUGGAGCUAUUGAGAGUCGCAGAUACCAGGUGGCUGCAACUGUUUAUUAAAAACACAGCACUGUGCAAAAUCGUAAGAUGACGUAUACGGUGUGACGCCUGCCCGGUGCCGGAAGGUUAAUUGAUGGGGUUAGACUUCGGUCGAAGCUCUUGAUCGAAGCCCCGGUAAACGGCGGCCGUAACUAUAACGGUCCUAAGGUAGCGAAAUUCCUUGUCGGGUAAGUUCCGACCUGCACGAAUGGCGUAAUGAUGGCCACGCUGUCUCCACCCGAGACUCAGUGAAAUUGAAAUCGCUGUGAAGAUGCAGUGUACCCGCGGCUAGACGGAAAGACCCCGUGAACCUUUACUACAGCUUGGCACUGAACAUUGACCCUACAUGUGUAGGAUAGGUGGGAGGCUUUGAAGCACGUACGCCAGUAUGUGUGGAGCCGUCCUUGAAAUACCACCCUUGUAGUGUUGAUGUUCUAACGUCGACCCCUAAUCGGGGUUGCGGACAGUGCCUGGUGGGUAGUUUGACUGGGGCGGUCUCCUCCCAAAGAGUAACGGAGGAGCACGAAGGUGGGCUAAUCACGGUUGGACAUCGUGAGGUUAGUGCAAUGGCAUAAGCCCGCUUGACUGCGAGAAUGACAAUUCGAGCAGGUGCGAAAGCAGGUCAUAGUGAUCCGGUGGUUCUGAAUGGAAGGGCCAUCGCUCAACGGAUAAAAGGUACUCCGGGGAUAACAGGCUGAUACCGCCCAAGAGUUCAUAUCGACGGCGGUGUUUGGCACCUCGAUGUCGGCUCAUCACAUCCUGGGGCUGAAGUCGGUCCCAAGGGUAUGGCUGUUCGCCAUUUAAAGUGGUACGCGAGCUGGGUUUAGAACGUCGUGAGACAGUUCGGUCCCUAUCUGCCGUGGGCGUUGGAAGAUUGAAGGGGGCUGCUCCUAGUACGAGAGGACCGGAGUGGACGAACCUCUGGUGUUCGGGUUGUGUCGCCAGACGCAUUGCCCGGUAGCUAAGUUCGGAAUCGAUAACCGCUGAAAGCAUCUAAGCGGGAAGCGAGCCCUGAGAUGAGUCUUCCCUGAUACUUUAAGUAUCCUAAAGGGUUGUCGGAGACUACGACGUUGAUAGGUCAGGUGUGUAAGUGCUGUGAGGCAUUGAGCUAACUGAUACUAAUUGCCCGUGAGGCUUAACCAUACAACACCCAAGGGGUUU
Molecule: ribosomal RNA, 2915 nt
Filed under: Vibrio parahaemolyticus
Lineage: Bacteria; Pseudomonadati; Pseudomonadota; Gammaproteobacteria; Vibrionales; Vibrionaceae
Description: bacterial LSU rRNA
Rfam family: Bacterial large subunit ribosomal RNA
Source: RNAcentral